RNAcentral lists this long non-coding RNA (249 nucleotides) under Hordeum vulgare. RNAcentral's name for it is "long non-coding RNA (HVUL_LNC018206)". The record is from RNAcentral. Lineage: Eukaryota; Viridiplantae; Streptophyta; Magnoliopsida; Poales; Poaceae.
UGUGCACAUAAGUAAUUAUCUUAUCUUGCUGAUUUACCAGUAUGUAAAGUUCUCUCUUAUGUCCAUAUGUGUGAGUUCAGUUUCAUAUAAACAUAUAAGCUGGUUCAUACCAUUUUCUUCUGUAGCUUAUUUUUCUUCAAGAAGUGUCAUCCCCUUGUCUGUUCAUGAUACCUAACACUAAAAAGUUCUCAGUGUGCACACGGGCUCGUUGGAAUGUACAAGUCCCUAAAACCAUGAACCUGGAUAAAU